RNAcentral lists this non-coding RNA (30 nucleotides) under Homo sapiens (human). The record is from RNAcentral. Lineage: Eukaryota; Metazoa; Chordata; Mammalia; Primates; Hominidae.
UGACUUUCCAGAGGGUCCGUGGCUGUGGUC